GGGGAAACCCACUUAGCAUAAGCUAGGUAUCGCUGCGUGAAUACAUAGCGUAGCGAGGCGAACCGGGAGAACUGAAACAUCUAAGUACCCCGAGGAAAAGAAAUCAACCGAGAUUCCCUCAGUAGCGGCGAGCGAACGGGGAUUAGCCCUUAAGCAUCUUGGAAGUUAGUGGAACGGUCCUGGAAAGGCCGGCGAUACAGGGUGAUAGCCCCGUACACGAAAACAACCUUGAUGUGAAAUCGAGUAGGGCGGGACACGUGACAUCCUGUCUGAAUAUGGGGGGACCAUCCUCCAAGGCUAAAUACUCCUGACUGACCGAUAGUGAACCAGUACCGUGAGGGAAAGGCGAAAAGAACCCCUGUGAGGGGAGUGAAAUAGAACCUGAAACCGUGUACGUACAAGCAGUGGGAGCCCUUCGGGGUGACUGCGUACCUUUUGUAUAAUGGGUCAGCGACUUACAUUUUGUAGCGAGGUUAACCGUAUAGGGGAGCCGUAGGGAAACCGAGUCUUAACUGGGCGUCUAGUUGCAAGGUGUAGACCCGAAACCGGGUGAUCUAGCCAUGGGCAGGUUGAAGGUUGAGUAACAUCAACUGGAGGACCGAACCCACUAACGUUGCAAAGUUAGGGGAUGACCUGUGGCUGGGGGUGAAAGGCCAAUCAAACUCGGAGAUAGCUGGUUCUCCCCGAAAGCUAUUUAGGUAGCGCCUCGGACGAAUACUACUGGGGGUAGAGCACUGUUUGGGCUAGGGGGUCAUCCCGACUUACCAACCCCAUGCAAACUCCGAAUACCAGUAAGUAAUAUCCGGGAGACACACGGCGGGUGCUAACGUCCGUCGUGAAGAGGGAAACAACCCAGACCGCCGGCUAAGGUCCCAAAGUUCUGGUUAAGUGGGAAACGAUGUGGGAAGGCUCAGACAGCUAGGAUGUUGGCUUAGAAGCAGCCAUCAUUUAAAGAAAGCGUAAUAGCUCACUAGUCGAGUCGGCCUGCGCGGAAGAUGUAACGGGGCUCAAACCAGGCACCGAAGCCGCGGAUUCACGCUAAGCGUGAGUGGUAGGGGAGCGUUCUGUAAGUCUGCGAAGGUGUGUCGAGAGGCAUGCUGGAGAUAUCAGAAGUGCGAAUGCUGACGUAAGUAACGAUAAAGGGGGUGAAAAGCCUCCUCGCCGGAAGACCAAGGGUUCCUGUCCAACGUUAAUCGGGGCAGGGUGAGUCGACCCCUAAGGCGAGGCCGAAAGGCGUAGUCGAUGGGAAGCAGGUUAAUAUUCCUGCACGACUUGUAAUUGCGAUGGGGGGACGGAGAAGGCUAGGUGGGCCAGGCGACGGUUGUCCUGGUGAAAGUGCGUAGGUGGUGUUUCUAGGCAAAUCCGGAGACACAACACUGAGACACGAGACGAACGCACUACGGUGCGGAAGCCAUUGAUGCCCUGCUUCCAGGAAAAGCCUCUAAGCUUCAGAUUACAAGUCAUCGUACCCCAAACCGACACAGGUGGUCGGGUAGAGAAUACCAAGGCGCUUGAGAGAACUCGGGUGAAGGAACUAGGCAAAAUAGAACCGUAACUUCGGGAGAAGGUUCGCUCUUGACAGUGAAGUCCCUUGCGGAUGGAGCAGUUGGGAGUCGCAGUGACCAGAUGGCUGGGACUGUUUAUCAAAAACACAGCACUCUGCAAACACGAAAGUGGACGUAUAGGGUGUGACACCUGCCCGGUGCCGGAAGGUUAAUUGAUGGGGUUAGCGCAAGCGAAGCUCUUGAUCGAAGCCCCGGUAAACGGCGGCCGUAACUAUAACGGUCCUAAGGUAGCGAAAUUCCUUGUCGGGUAAGUUCCGACCUGCACGAAUGGUGUAACCAUGGCCAUGCUGUCUCCACCCGAGACUCAGUGAAAUCGAAUUCGCCGUGAAGAUGCGGUGUACCCGCGGCUAGACGGAAAGACCCCGUGAACCUUUACUACAGCUUGGCACUGAACAUUGAACCUACAUGUGUAGGAUAGGUGGGAGGCUUUGAAGGCGUGACGCCAGUUGCGCUGGAGCCGUCCUUGAAAUACCACCCUUGUAUGU
Molecule: ribosomal RNA, 2050 nt
Filed under: Aeromonas hydrophila
Lineage: Bacteria; Pseudomonadati; Pseudomonadota; Gammaproteobacteria; Aeromonadales; Aeromonadaceae
Description: partial 23S ribosomal RNA
Rfam family: Bacterial large subunit ribosomal RNA
Source: RNAcentral